UUUUAUGAUGAGACCAAGGCUACAAAGCCAUUUGCUAUAAACCCAGCUCUUCGAAGAAUUUAAUUUUCAUGAGACACCUUUUUUGUCAAAUGCUCUGACU
This is a small nucleolar RNA of Saccharomycodes ludwigii, 100 nucleotides long. The record is from RefSeq and is a predicted model, not a curated record. Lineage: Eukaryota; Fungi; Ascomycota; Saccharomycetes; Saccharomycodales; Saccharomycodaceae.